RNAcentral lists this ribosomal RNA (613 nucleotides) under uncultured bacterium. Its description in RNAcentral is "bacterial SSU rRNA". The stretch from base 1 to 518 matches the Rfam family "Bacterial small subunit ribosomal RNA", at positions 338 to 873 of the family's 1533-position model. The record is from RNAcentral.
CCUACGGGAGGCAGCAGUGGGGAAUAUUGGACAAUGGGCGAAAGCCUGAUCCAGCAAUGCCGCGUGAGUGAUGAAGGCCUUAGGGUUGUAAAGCUCUUUUACCAGGGAUGAUAAUGACAGUACCUGGAGAAUAAGCUCCGGCUAACUCCGUGCCAGCAGCCGCGGUAAUACGGAGGGAGCUAGCGUUAUUCGGAAUUACUGGGCGUAAAGCGUACGUAGGCGGUUAUUCAAGUCAGAGGUGAAAGCCCGGGGCUCAACCCCGGAACUGCCUUUGAAACUAGAUAACUAGAGUCUUGGAGAGGUUAGUGGAAUUCCGAGUGUAGAGGUGAAAUUCGUAGAUAUUCGGAAGAACACCAGUGGCGAAGGCGACUAACUGGACAAGUACUGACGCUGAGGUACGAAAGCGUGGGGAGCAAACAGGAUUAGAUACCCUGGUAGUCCACGCCGUAAACGAUGAUAACUAGCUGUCCGGGCACUUGGUGCCUGGGUGGCGCAGCUACGACAUUAAGUUAUCCGUCCGUCGGGUAGGUACGGUCGCGAAGAAUUAAAACUUAAAACGUAAAGUUAGUACGGACGUGAGACGUGCCGAACGGACGACGACGAGGGAGGUAGG